AGUGAACGCUGGCGGUAGGCCUAACACAUGCAAGUCGAACGGCAGCACAUUAAGAGCUUGCUCUUACGGGUGGCGAGUGGCGGACGAGUGAGGAAUACAUCGGAAUCUACUUUUUCGUGGGGGAUAACGUAGGGAAACUUACGCUAAUACCGCAUACGACCUACGGGUGAAAGCAGGGGAUCUUCGGACCUUGCGCGAUUGAAUGAGCCGAUGUCGGAUUAGCUAGUUGGCGGGGUAAAGGCCCACCAAGGCGACGAUCCGUAGCUGGUCUGAGAGGAUGAUCAGCCACACUGGAACUGAGACACGGUCCAGACUCCUACGGGAGGCAGCAGUGGGGAAUAUUGGACAAUGGGCGCAAGACUGAUCCAGCCAUACCGCGUGGGUGAAGAAGGCCUUCGGGUUGUAAAGCCCUUUUGUUGGGAAAGAAAAGCAGCAGGUUAAUACCCCGCUGUUCUGACGGUACACAAAGAAUAAGCACCGGCUAACUUCGUG
RNAcentral lists this ribosomal RNA (492 nucleotides) under uncultured bacterium. RNAcentral describes it as "partial 16S ribosomal RNA". It matches the Rfam family "Bacterial small subunit ribosomal RNA", at positions 29 to 507 of the family's 1533-position model. The record is from RNAcentral.